GGCUCCGUGGCCUAAUGGAUAAGGCAUCUGACUUCGGAUCAGAAGAUUGCGGGUUUGAGUCCCGUCGGGGUCG
Molecule: non-coding RNA, 73 nt
Organism: Schistosoma curassoni
Lineage: Eukaryota; Metazoa; Platyhelminthes; Trematoda; Strigeidida; Schistosomatidae
Source: Rfam